CCUACGGGAGGCAGCAGUGGGGAAUAUUGCACAAUGGGGGAAACCCUGAUGCAGCGACGCCGCGUGAGUGAAGAAGUAUUUCGGUAUGUACAGCUCUAUCAGCAGGGAAGAAAAUGACGGUCCCUGACUAAGAAGCCCCGGCUAACUACGUGCCAGCAGCCGCGGUAAUACGUAGGGGGCAAGCGUUAUCCGGAUUUACUGGGUGUAAAGGGAGCGUAGACGGCAGCGCAAGUCUGAAGUGAAAUCCCAGUGCUUAACCAUGGAACUGCUUUGGAAACUGUGCAGCUGGAGUGCAGGAGAGGUAAGCGGAAUUCCUAGUGUAGCGGUGAAAUGCGUAGAUAUUAGGAGGAACACCAGUGGCGAAGGCGACUUACUGGACUGUAACUGACGUUGAGGCUCGAAAGCGUGGGGAGCAAACAGGAUUAGAUACCCCAGUAGUC
RNAcentral lists this ribosomal RNA (440 nucleotides) under uncultured bacterium. RNAcentral's name for it is "partial 16S ribosomal RNA". It matches the Rfam family "Bacterial small subunit ribosomal RNA", at positions 338 to 795 of the family's 1533-position model. The record is from RNAcentral.